AGAGUUUGAUCCUGGCUCAGGACGAACACUGGCGGCGUGCCUAAUACAUGCAAGUCGAGCGGACGGAUGGGAGCUUGCUCCCUGAAGUCAGCGGCGGACGGGUGAGUAACACGUGGGCAACCUGCAUGUAAGACUGGGAUAACUCCGGGAAACCGGGGCUAAUACCGGAUAACGCUUUUCCUCACAUGAGGAAAAGCUGAAAGAUGGUUUCGGCUAUCACUUACAGAUGGGCCCGCGGCGCAUUAGCUAGUUGGUGAGGUAACGGCUCACCAAGGCCACGAUGCGUAGCCGACCUGAGAGGGUGAUCGGCCACACUGGGACUGAGACACGGCCCAGACUCCUACGGGAGGCAGCAGUAGGGAAUCUUCCGCAAUGGACGAAAGUCUGACGGAGCAACGCCGCGUGAGUGAUGAAGGUUUUCGGAUCAUAAAACUCUGUUGUCAGGGAAGAACAAGUACCGGAGUAACUGCCGGUACCUUGACGGUACCUGACCAGAAAGCCACGGCUAACUACGUGCCAGCAGCCGCGGUAAUACGUAGGUGGCAAGCGUUGUCCGAAAUUAUUGGGCGUAAAGCGCGCGCAGGCGGUUCCUUAAGUCUGAUGUGAAAGCCC
RNAcentral lists this ribosomal RNA (612 nucleotides) under uncultured marine bacterium. RNAcentral describes it as "bacterial SSU rRNA". It matches the Rfam family "Bacterial small subunit ribosomal RNA", at positions 8 to 603 of the family's 1533-position model. The record is from RNAcentral.